UGCCAGCAGCCGCGGUAAUACGGGGGAUGCAAGCGUUAUUCGGAAUCAUUGGGCGUAAAGGGCACGCAGGCGGUCUUAUCAGUCAGAUGUGAAAGCCCGGGGCUCAACCCCGGACGUGCAUUUGAAACAGUAAGACUUGAGUACGGGAGAGGAAAGCGGAAUUCCUGGUGUAGAGGUGAAAUUCGUAGAUAUCAGGAGGAACACCGGUGGCGAAGGCGGCUUUCUGGACCGAUACUGACGCUGAGGUGCGAAGGCGUGGGGAGCGAACAGGAUUAGAUA
This 279-nucleotide ribosomal RNA is filed under the name uncultured bacterium. Its description in RNAcentral is "partial 16S ribosomal RNA". It matches the Rfam family "Bacterial small subunit ribosomal RNA", at positions 506 to 784 of the family's 1533-position model. The record is from RNAcentral.